RNAcentral lists this unclassified non-coding RNA (353 nucleotides) under soil metagenome. RNAcentral's name for it is "partial contains 5.8S ribosomal RNA, internal transcribed spacer 2, and large subunit ribosomal RNA". The stretch from base 1 to 120 matches the Rfam family "5.8S ribosomal RNA", at positions 35 to 154 of the family's 154-position model. The record is from RNAcentral.
GAUGAGGAACGUAGCGAAAUGCGAUAAGUAAUGUGAAUUGCAGAAUUCAGUGAAUCAUCGAAUCUUUGAACGCACAUUGCGCCCGCCAGUAUUCUGGCGGGCAUGCCUGUUCGAGCGUCAUUACAACCCUCAGGCCCCCGGGCCUGGCGUUGGGGAUCGGCGGAAGCCCCCUGCGGGCACAACGCCGUCCCCCAAAUACAGUGGCGGUCCCGCCGCAGCUUCCAUUGCGUAGUAGCUAACACCUCGCAACUGGAGAGCGGCGCGGCCACGCCGGAAAACACCCAACUUCUGAAUGUUGACCUCGAAUCAGGUAGGAAUACCCGCUGAGCUUAAGCAUAUCAAUAAGCGGAGGA